UUCUUUUCAUAGCACAAACGUUAUUUUUAUAGCAUCUUAAUGUAUCCACCUACUUACUUUUAUAAUAUGCUUAAUUGUGUCAUAAAGAGGGGGGUAAUUAGUAAAGCUGCAACAAAACUAUUAUAGAAGGAGAAAAUGGGUAGGAGGAGAUGAUAAGACAUGAAAAUUUUUGUGUAUUCGUAUUUUUUUUGGGUCUAUUUAUUAUGUCAUAAUUUAAAAUAUUUUAUAAGCAUAUAAAUUUCGAUAGGUGAAUACUUUAUAUAAUAUGAUUUUUAAAAUAAUAUUGUAUCAUGCUUUGUAUUAUAUUUUAAUUAUUUUUUGUGUUCCAUGUUGAAUAGUGCUGUCUAAUGAUGAUGGUGAUGGAUAGGGUAAUGCAUUGAUUCCCAGUGAGAACAAGAUUACAAGUGUAGAUGUUGGAUGGAGCAGAGGAAACAUUUUCAGUGAACAACAAUAUCCGGUUGUCUUCAGGCUUGGUCACUAUAACGAUUUGAAAGUAAGUGGUAAUAAAAAAAAAUGUAAUUCUGAAAUUUCAUUUUUAUAAAUUAAAUUCGUAAAUAUUUAUUGAGUUUUUAAAAAGAUGAAUUGAAGUUUGAAUAAAUAAUUUUAUCGAAUUAGUGAUUAGUUAGGGCUUAAAUAUUAAAUUGUAAAGAUUUACAAAUAUAAAUUUUUAAUUGACCAAAUGUGAGAGGACUUAUUUAGCAAUUAAAUCAAGGAUUAAAAUGAUAAAUAUACCGUCUUAAAAUGAUAGUGGACGGGUAGGUGAGUUAAAUUGUUUAAAUAUUAUUAACAUUGAAUUAAAUAAAGUAUAUAUAACAUAAGUAAAGUAAAACAUCAUAUUGGAAAUAAAGAGAAAACAUAGUUUGUAUCACCUCUUCAACACUGAAAAUUAGAAGGUAAAGGAGAAGAUCAUUCGGCCAAGGUUUUCAAAGCUUGGUUAGUUUAAUUUAGUCCAUUCCUUAUAAUUUUUAUAUUUUUGAGGUUAUAAGAACUUAAUUUAACUAGUUCAUGUAUCAAUUUGUAAAAUUGUUAAAGUUUUAAAAAGUUACCAUUGUUGAUUUCUUGAAGUUUUAGGUAUUAAAUUGAUAGAUUUUAAGCUUAGAUGUGAAAAGAGCUAAAUUGUGAAGUUAAUUGAUAAUUUCAUACUGUCGAAACCAUUUUUUUUAAAAACGGGGAUUGACUUCAUAUUUUGAAAAGAAAACGAAAAUUGAAAGUCGCCACCAAUCUUUUUUGUUUAGGUGUGAUCGGAUCACCAAGAAGUGUGGUCAUUUUAAUAAAACAUUUUGGUUUACUAAAACAACGAUUUUGGUCUACGAAAUUUGAGAAAAACGGAUUCGGGAGUCAGUUACGUGAGAGGAAGGAUUAGCACCCUCGUAACGCCCAAAAUUGGUACCUAAUUGAUUAAUUAAUGUCUUAAUGUCGAAAAUUGAAAAGAUUUAAAAAUAAAUUUUGAAAUACGAUCCUUUUUUCGAAUGUUUGGAUAACUUGAAGUGGAUAUUAAUAUUCUCUUUUUUUCGAAGAAGUAAAAUAUCACAUCCAACACGUAGGACACGACAUUUCAAACCUUCGAUACCCAAAAUCAUCUCAUGAUUUCUAAAACUCAUGCAUUGAAAUUUUUUAAAAUGAUAUUCGGUUGUUUGGUCAAACGGUAAAUUGAAACCCAACACGUAGGACACGUUUUCUUGGAUUCCCAAACGUUGAACAUUGCCUUGUUUUAGAAUUUAGAAAACAUGAGUGAAAUGCUAAAGGAAUAUUCGAUUAUUUGAACAAACGGGAAAUUACAACCCAGCACAAUAGAGUACGAUUCCCCGAAUUUUCAAACUUCGAACGUUGCCUUCGUUUUAAAGAAUUUUUAAAACAUGAGUGAAAUUCCAAAGGAAUAUUCGAUCAUUUUGAACAAACGAGAAAUUGCAACCCAGCACGAUAGGGCACGAUUCCUUGAAUUUCUAAACAUCAAAAAUCGCUUUUGUUUUAAGGUUUAGAAAAAGCGAACGAAAUUUUAAAGGGAAAUUCGAUUAUUUAAACGAACGAAAGAUCGAAACCCAACACAUUAGGGCACGAUCUAUCGAAUUGCUAAACACCAAACUUCGCCUUUGUUUUAUAAAGUCGACCCAAAAUACAUUAAUUUGACUUGGAAUGAAAUAGAAUCAUGAAUUUCGGAUCAAUAAAUUGAAAAUUACAAUGCAACAAUUACGAAUGAAAGGCGAAAUUACAAACAUGGAACAAUAUAUAUGGAUAAAAUACUAUACAAAUGAGUGACAAUAGUAUGAAAAUAAGUGAACGAAUUAUAGCACACACAAUGACAUUUCUACUCAACAUACAUUAUUUAAAUAUUAAUAAAUAAAGUGAAAUGUAAUGAAUAAUACAAACAAUAAAAAAUAGGCAAUAAGAUGAUUCUAGAAGAAUAAUAUGUAGAAAAAAC
Molecule: long non-coding RNA, 2419 nt
Filed under: Gossypium barbadense (sea-island cotton)
Lineage: Eukaryota; Viridiplantae; Streptophyta; Magnoliopsida; Malvales; Malvaceae
Description: long non-coding RNA (GBAR_LNC010491)
Source: RNAcentral